This 801-nucleotide long non-coding RNA is filed under the name Numida meleagris (helmeted guineafowl). RNAcentral describes it as "lncRNA (ENSNMEG00000010507.1)". The record is from RNAcentral. Lineage: Eukaryota; Metazoa; Chordata; Aves; Galliformes; Numididae.
UUCUCAGCCUGAUUGCCUUUUGCUUACUAAGAACAGCAACUGAUUUCUAUUGGACAACUGUGUAAUUGUGUGGUGGUGUAGGGAACAACCAUUAUACUCCAAUUCCUUCAUCUGGUAAACGGGAACAUGAGUGUAUGGGAAUUGCUAAGUCACAGCCUGAACCAAUGAGUGAGCACUUUGUGAAGAGACACAGCCUGCCCUGGGAACACAGGUGAAAGCAAUUCACCUGUGCCACAGAAAGGGUGGAACCAGGUUCCACCCCUAAGCCUCAUUUAAGGACUGGUUGCCACCUGGGAACACUCUCUGUCUGGCGAUCCUUUCUUCUGGGUUAUUUGGUGGGUCCUGUUCCUCAGGAUAGGUGAGCAAAUCUUUCUUUGACUGGAUUGUGACUAUCACUCUUUUUUGAGUAAUUUAGAACUGGUUGUCUGCCAUUGCCUUUCCAUACAAUUACUUCUAUUUCUCAGAGGCUCAAUUUAGAGUUUAAUAAUCGGCUAACAAAUUCACAAAGCCACUUUAAUUUCAUCUUCAGCUCUUGUGUUACUCUCCUUCCUGAACUCAAUAGCGGCAUCACAAGAUAAAAUGGGAUGUGCCCUACCAGCCCCUAUGAUAUCAGAAACAGCAAAUACACUGUCCGAAGGCUGUAGACUGCCAACGCUAAAGAUACAAGCUGCAGUAACUUGCAUGAUGAGCCACAGUGUCUGUCAGCUGUCGAGGAGAACAAGAACUGACCUGUUUCUGCGUUCAUGGAGACAUAACCAGUGUAAAUAUGGUCCCAUUGUCCUGGCCCUCCAGGAUUGUUAG